ACACAUGCAAGUCGAACGGGAAUUACUUUAUUGAAACUUCGGUCGAUUUAAUUUAAUUCUAGUGGCGGACGGGUGAGUAACGCGUGGGUAACCUGCCUUAUACAGGGGGAUAACAGUCAGAAAUGGCUGCUAAUACCGCAUAAGCGCACAGAGCUGCAUGGCUCGGUGUGAAAAACUCCGGUGGUAUAAGAUGGACCCGCGUUGGAUUAGCUUGUUGGUGGGGUAACGGCCCACCAAGGCGACGAUCCAUAGCCGGCCUGAGAGGGUGAACGGCCACAUUGGGACUGAGACACGGCCCAGACUCCUACGGGAGGCAGCAGUGGGGAAUAUUGCACAAUGGGGGAAACCCUGAUGCAGCGACGCCGCGUGAAGGAAGAAGUAUCUCGGUAUGUAAACUUCUAUCAGCAGGGAAGAUAGUGACGGUACCUGACUAAGAAGCCCCGGCUAACUACGUGCCAGCAGCCGCGGUAAUACGUAGGGGGCAAGCGUUAUCCGGAUUUACUGGGUGUAAAGGGAGCGUAGACGGUGUGGCAAGUCUGAUGUGAAAGGCAUGGGCUCAACCUGUGGACUGCAUUGGAAACUGUCAUACUUGAGUGCCGGAGGGGUAAGCGGAAUUCCUAGUGUAGCGGUGAAAUGCGUAGAUAUUAGGAGGACACCAGUGGCGAAGGCGGCUUACUGGACGGUAACUGACGUUGAGGCUC
RNAcentral lists this ribosomal RNA (701 nucleotides) under uncultured Lachnospiraceae bacterium. RNAcentral describes it as "bacterial SSU rRNA". It matches the Rfam family "Bacterial small subunit ribosomal RNA", at positions 51 to 754 of the family's 1533-position model. Lineage: Bacteria; Bacillati; Bacillota; Clostridia; Lachnospirales; Lachnospiraceae. The record is from RNAcentral.